GGUGGUAACCUUGUGGGAAACUUGUAUAAAAGAGACCAUAAACACUCACUUCAUCCAGACCUGCUUAACCCCCAAUACGUAGCCUCAUCUCGUUAUUGUAGGGAACUGCUAUAAUCACACUGGGGAUUGCUAUACUUUUUAUACUCCCCUGAGCUCUAAUCACUUAGCUCUUUUAAGAGCUGUUCCUGAUACGCUCCUGGAGGAGAGGUCUUUCCCACACGGUCC
This is a non-coding RNA of Pelobates cultripes (western spadefoot toad), 225 nucleotides long. Lineage: Eukaryota; Metazoa; Chordata; Amphibia; Anura; Pelobatidae. The record is from the annotation of a GenBank genome assembly.